RNAcentral lists this ribosomal RNA (253 nucleotides) under uncultured bacterium. Its description in RNAcentral is "partial 16S ribosomal RNA". It matches the Rfam family "Bacterial small subunit ribosomal RNA", at positions 524 to 776 of the family's 1533-position model. The record is from RNAcentral.
UACGAAGGGGGCUAGCGUUGUCCGGAAUUACUGGGCGUAAAGCGUGCGCAGGCGGCUUCUCAAGUCAGGGGUGAAAGCCCAGAGCUCAACUCUGGAAUUGCCUUUGAGACUGAGUGGCUUGAGUACGAGAGAGGUGAGUGGAAUUCCCAGUGUAGAGGUGAAAUUCGUAGAUAUUGGGAAGAACACCGGUGGCGAAGGCGGCUCACUGGCUCGUAACUGACGCUCAUGCACGACAGCGUGGGGAUCAAACAGG